GUAGUAAAGCGAGCGCCGCCGUGCGCUCCAGUAUCUACUGCGCUUGCAAACAACGUGCCUCAACAAUGACAGAGAAGACAUCCGACACUUGUGCAUCAAAGUGUCUUCAACUUCCGAGGGAACCCAUGACAUAACCUUAUUCAGCACCCGCAGUCAUUUCCAUAUCUACGGUUCAACUAGCUGCAGGCAGAAGCGCCGCGCCCACCUGCCGCUCGCUGCCGUGCACGGCGGCGCAGUCGAAGUGGCGGUAGCCCACGUCCACGGCGUCCCUCACCGCCCGCUCCACGCGCUCCACCGGCAUCUGCGCGUCAGUCCGUCAGAACACAGCGGUGCUCUCGCGCCAGUUUGCU
Bacillus rossius redtenbacheri is the source of this 350-nucleotide long non-coding RNA. RefSeq lists it as uncharacterized. The record is from RefSeq and is a predicted model, not a curated record. Lineage: Eukaryota; Metazoa; Arthropoda; Insecta; Phasmatodea; Bacillidae. The transcript has 3 exons.